Molecule: ribosomal RNA, 901 nt
Filed under: Hysterangium stoloniferum
Lineage: Eukaryota; Fungi; Basidiomycota; Agaricomycetes; Hysterangiales; Hysterangiaceae
Description: eukaryotic LSU rRNA
Rfam family: Eukaryotic large subunit ribosomal RNA
Source: RNAcentral
UAACAAGGAUUCCCCUAGUAACGGCGAGUGAAGCGGGAAGAGCUCAAAUUUGUAAUCUGGCGGUCUUCGGCCGUCCGAGUUGGGGUCUGGAGAAGCGUCUUCCGUGCCGGACCGUGUACAAGUCCCUUGGAACAGGGCGUCGUGGAGGGUGAGAAUCCCGUCUCUGACACGGACCGCCGGUGCUCUGUGAUGCGCUCUCGAAGAGUCGAGUUGUUUGGGAAUGCAGCUCAAAAUGGGUGGUAAAUUCCAUCUAAAGCUAAAUAUUGGCGAAAGACCGAUAGCGAACAAGUACCGUGAGGGAAAGAUGAAAAGCACUUUGGAAAGAGAGUUAAACAGUACGUGAAAUUGUUGAAAGGGAAACGCUUGAAGUCAGUCGCGUCUUCCGAGACUCAGCCGGGUUUCUUACCCGGUGUACUUCUCGGCGUCGACGGGCCAGCAUCGAUUUCGAUCGUCGGAGAAAGGCUCUGGGAAUGUGGCACCUUCGGGUGUGUUAUAGCCCUCUGUCGUAUGCGACGGUCGGGAUCGAGGACCGCAGCGCGCCCUUCACCGGGCCGGGGUUCGCCCACGUAACGCGCUUAGGAUGCUGGCGUAAUGGCUUUAAGCGACCCGUCUUGAAACACGGACCAAGGAGUCUAACAUGCCUGCGAGUGUUUGGAUGGAAAACCCGAGCGCGUAAUGAAAGUGAAAAAGGUCGGGACCUCUGUCGUGGAGGGCACCGACGCCCGGACCAGACCUCCUGUGACGGUUCCGAGGUAGAGCAUGUAUGUUGGGACCCGAAAGAUGGUGAACUAUGCCUGAGUAGGGUGAAGCCAGAGGAAACUCUGGUGGAGGCUCGUAGCGAUUCUGACGUGCAAAUCGAUCGUCGAACUUGGGUAUAGGGGCGAAAGACUAAUCGAACCAU